RNAcentral lists this Y RNA (101 nucleotides) under Microcebus murinus (gray mouse lemur). Its description in RNAcentral is "Y RNA (ENSMICG00000020571.3)". It matches the Rfam family "Y RNA". Rfam says of the family: Y RNAs are components of the Ro ribonucleoprotein particle (Ro RNP), in association with Ro60 and La proteins. The Y RNAs and Ro60 and La proteins are well conserved, but the function of the Ro RNP is not known. Lineage: Eukaryota; Metazoa; Chordata; Mammalia; Primates; Cheirogaleidae. The record is from Rfam by way of RNAcentral.
AGCUGGUUGGAGUGAAGUGGUAUGUAUAACUAAUUGAUCACAACCAGUUACAGAUUCCUUUGUUCCUUCUCCAGUCCCACUGCUUCAUUCACUUGAUUUGC